RNAcentral lists this ribosomal RNA (403 nucleotides) under bacterium. Its description in RNAcentral is "partial 16S ribosomal RNA". It matches the Rfam family "Bacterial small subunit ribosomal RNA", at positions 355 to 776 of the family's 1533-position model. The record is from RNAcentral.
UGGGGAAUAUUGCACAAUGGGGGAAACCCUGAUGCAGCGACGCCGCGUGAACGAAGAAGGUAUUCGUAUCGUAAAGUUCUGUCCUAUGGGAAGAUAAUGACAGUACCAUAGAAGAAAGCUCCGGCUAAAUACGUGCCAGCAGCCGCGGUAAUACGUAUGGAGCGAGCGUUGUCCGGAAUUAUUGGGCGUAAAGGGUACGCAGGCGGUUUAAUAAGUCGAAUGUUAAAGAUCGGGGCUCAACCCCGCAAAGCAUUGGAAACUGAUAAACUUGAGUAGUGGAGAGGAAAGUGGAAUUCCUAGUGUAGUGGUGAAUUACGUAGAUAUUAGGAGGAAUACCAGUAGCGAAGGCGACUUUCUGGACACAAACUGACGCUGAGGUACGAAAGCGUGGGGAGCAAACAGG